AGAUGGUAGAAUGGAACAGUAGUAUGAAGGUGGAUAAAGAUGGUAGAAUGGAACAGUAGUAUGAAGGUGGAUAAAGAUGGUAGAAUGGAACAGUAGUGUGAAGGUGGAUAAAGAUGGUAGAAUGGAACAGUAGUGUGAAGGUGGAUAAAGAUGGUAGAAUGGAACAGUAUGAAGGUGGAUAAAGAUGGUAGAAUGGAACAGUAGUGUGAAGAAGGUGGAUAAAGAUGGUAGAAUGGAACAGUAGUGUGAAGGUGGAUAAAGAUGGUAGAAUGGAACAGUAGUGUGAAGAAGGUGGAUAAAGAUGGUAGAAUGGAACAGUAGUGUGAAGAAGGUGGAUAAAGAUGGUAGAAUGGAACAGUAGUGUGAAGGUGGAUAAAGAUGGUAGAAUGGAACAGUAGUGUGAAGGUGGAUAAAGAUGGUAGAAUGGAACAGUAGUGUGAAGAAGGUGGAUAAAGAUGGUAGAAUGGAACAGUAGUGUGAAGGUGGAUAAAGAUGGUAGAAUGGAACAGUAGUGUGAAGAAGGUGGAUAAAGAUGGUAGAAUGGAACAGUAGUGUGAAG
This is a long non-coding RNA of Oncorhynchus tshawytscha (Chinook salmon), 559 nucleotides long. The record is from Ensembl. Lineage: Eukaryota; Metazoa; Chordata; Actinopteri; Salmoniformes; Salmonidae.